GAAGUAGGUAGAGGUGCGAAGGUCAUCAGUACACAGUAGCAGGAUUAUGGGAUCCGUUGAUGAUUGUGGAAAGGGGAAUUCGCCGAAACUUAAGAGAAUCUCAUAUUCUCAGGGGUUGGUUCUGCUAUUGAAUAAGUACAGGACUGUCAUAUAGGAGACUAUAUGGAGGGCUAUCUUGCGC
This 181-nucleotide non-coding RNA is filed under the name Lentibacillus amyloliquefaciens. RNAcentral describes it as "Lysine sequence". It matches the Rfam family "Lysine riboswitch aptamer". From Rfam's summary of the family: Riboswitches are metabolite binding domains within certain messenger RNAs that serve as precision sensors for their corresponding targets. Allosteric rearrangement of mRNA structure is mediated by ligand binding, and this results in modulation of gene expression. The record is from Rfam by way of RNAcentral. Lineage: Bacteria; Bacillati; Bacillota; Bacilli; Caryophanales; Bacillaceae.